CCUACGGGUGGCAGCAGUGGGGAAUAUUGCACAAUGGGCGCAAGCCUGAUGCAGUGACGCCGCGUGCGGGAUGAAGGCCUUCGGGUUGUAAACCGCUUUCAGCAGGGGCGAACACAGGACGGUACCUGCAGAAGAAGCGCCGGCUAACUACGUGCCAGCAGCCGCGGUAAUACGUAGGGCGCGAGCGUUGUCCGGAAUUAUUGGGCGUAAAGAGCUCGUAGGCGGCCUGUUGCGUCCGCUGUGAAAUCCCAGGGCUCAACCCUGGGCGUGCAGUGGAUACGGGCAGGCUGGAGGCAGGCAGGGGAGAACGGAAUUCCCGGUGUAGCGGUGAAAUGCGCAGAUAUCGGGAGGAACACCGGUUGCGAAGGCGGUUCUCUGGGCCUGUACUGACGCUGAGGAGCGAAAGCGUGGGGAGCGAACAGGAUUAGAUACCCCUGUAG
This 440-nucleotide ribosomal RNA is filed under the name uncultured bacterium. Its description in RNAcentral is "bacterial SSU rRNA". It matches the Rfam family "Bacterial small subunit ribosomal RNA", at positions 338 to 793 of the family's 1533-position model. The record is from RNAcentral.